AAUGAACGCUGGCGGCAUGCCUAACACAUGCAAGUCGAACGAAACCUUCGGGUCUAGUCGCGCACGGGUGCGUAACCCGUGGGAACCUGCCCAUAGGUUUGGCAUAACUCCCCGAAAGGGGUGCUAAUACCGGAUCAUGUCUUCGGACCAAAGAUUUAUCGCCCUUGGAUGGUCGCGCGUUGGAUUAGCUAGUGGGUAGGGUAAAAGCCUACCACGGCGAGGAUCCGUAGCUGGUUAGCGAGGAAGAUCAGCCACACUGGGAUUGAGACGCGGCCCAGAAUCUUACGGGAGGCAGGAAUGGGGAAUAGUGGACAGUGGGCGGAAGCAUGAAGGAGCUAGGCCGGGUGAGUGAUGAAGGCCGUGGGGUUGUAAAGUGCUUUUACCCGGGAUGAUAAUGACAGUACCGAGAGAAUAAGCGCCGGCUAACUCCGUG
Molecule: ribosomal RNA, 433 nt
Filed under: uncultured bacterium
Lineage: Bacteria
Description: partial 16S ribosomal RNA
Rfam family: Bacterial small subunit ribosomal RNA
Source: RNAcentral